This 266-nucleotide unclassified non-coding RNA is filed under the name uncultured fungus. Its description in RNAcentral is "partial contains 5.8S ribosomal RNA, internal transcribed spacer 2, and large subunit ribosomal RNA". The stretch from base 1 to 52 matches the Rfam family "5.8S ribosomal RNA", at positions 103 to 154 of the family's 154-position model. Lineage: Eukaryota; Fungi. The record is from RNAcentral.
AACGCACCUUGCACCUUUUGGUACUCCGAAAGGUAUGCCUGUUUGAGUGUCAUGAAAUCUCAAUCCCCUCUGGUUUCAUUACCAGGGGUGGACUUGGACUUGGGCGUCUGCCAUAUUGCUUGGCUCGCCUCAAAUGUGUCAGUGGGAUCUAGCAUCCACGGCCCGACGUAAUAAGUUUCGUCUGGCCCGGUGUCUGAGCCUGCUCAUAACCAACCAUAUCUUCUGACUCUGACCUCAAAUCAGGUAGGGCUACCCGCUGAACUUAA